Lepisosteus oculatus (spotted gar) is the source of this 375-nucleotide non-coding RNA. Lineage: Eukaryota; Metazoa; Chordata; Actinopteri; Semionotiformes; Lepisosteidae. The record is from RefSeq and is a predicted model, not a curated record.
UCGCCGCGACGCCGUCCGAAAGACUUAACGGCUCCCGGCGGGUUUGUUCCCGGUGAAGGAGUCGCCACCGGAGCUGUAGUAUUGGAGCCGAGCGACAUCUGUGUACAGAUACCACCUUCCGUGUAGACAUUCAAAGUGUAUUUCUUCAGGUCCGGGGCAUGAUGUGGCCAGUGUGGAUCUCUCUGUGCCCUCACUCCCACUGAACAACAGCCCCCCAGAAUGCCAAGGAGCCCCCUGCCUGUGAGCCAAACCAAGCUGUCCCAGGAGACCAGCAAAGCACAGCCAGGAUGGUCAUGAGGAGCAAGAGAGCCAGCUUGAGGACAAAUGAUGAUGGAGAGUACACUGCAAUCACCCUCCAGACCAGCAGAGGGCGAC